This 496-nucleotide ribosomal RNA is filed under the name uncultured bacterium. Its description in RNAcentral is "partial 16S ribosomal RNA". It matches the Rfam family "Bacterial small subunit ribosomal RNA", at positions 28 to 506 of the family's 1533-position model. The record is from RNAcentral.
GAUGAACGCUGGCGGCGUGCCUAAUACAUGCAAGUCGAGCGAACGGACGAGAAGCUUGCUUCUCUGAUGUUAGCGGCGGACGGGUGAGUAACACGUGGAUAACCUACCUAUAAGACUGGGAUAACUUCGGGAAACCGUAGCUAAUACCGGAUAAUAUUUUGAACCGCAUGGUUCAAAAGUGAAAGACGGUCUAGCUGUCACUUAUAGAUGGAUCCGCGCUGCAUUAGCUAGUUGGUAAGGUAACGGCUUACCAAGGCAACGAUGCAUAGCCGACCUGAGAGGGUGAUCGGCCACACUGGAACUGAGACACGGUCCAGACUCCUACGGGAGGCAGCAGUAGGGAAUCUUCCGCAAUGGGCGAAAGCCUGACGGAGCAACGCCGCGUGAGUGAUGAAGGUCUUCGGAUCGUAAAACUCUGUUAUUAGGGAAGAACAUAUGUGUAAGUAACUGUGCACAUCUUGACGGUACCUAAGCAGAAAACCACGGCUAACUACGU